UAACAGCCCGGUAGUUGAAAUGGCUUUCCCUCCAGAGUGGAUCCUGAGUACGGCGGAACACGUGAAAUUCCGUCGGAAUCCGGGAGGACCAUCUCCCAAGGCUAAAUACUCCCUAGUGACCGAUAGUGAACCAGUACCGUGAGGGAAAGGUGAAAAGCACCCCGGAAGGGGAGUGAAACAGUUCCUGAAACCGUGUGCCUACAAGUAGUUAGAGCCCGUUAAUGGGUGAUAGCGUGCCUUUUGUAGAAUGAACCGGCGAGUUACGAUUUGUUGCAAGGUUAAGCGGAAAAAGCGGAGCCGUAGCGAAAGCGAGUCUGAAUAGGGCGCAUAAGUAACAGGUCGUAGACCCGAAACCAGGUGAUCUACCCAUGUCCAGGAUGAAGGUAAGGUAAUACUUACUGGAGGUCCGAACCCACGCACGUUGAAAAGUGCGGGGAUGAGGUGUGGGUAGCGGAGAAAUUCCAAUCGAACUUGGAGAUAGCUGGUUCUCUCCGAAAUAGCUUUAGGGCUAGCCUCGAGGUAAAGAGUCAUGGAGGUAGAGCACUGUUUGGACUAGGGGCCCUUCUCGGGUUACCGAAUUCAGAUAAACUCCGAAUGCCAUGUACUUAUACUCGGGAGUCAGACUGCGAGUGAUAAGAUCCGUAGUCGAAAGGGAAACAGCCCAGACCACCAGUUAAGGUCCCCAAAUAUAUGUUAAGUGGAAAAGGAUGUGGGGUUGCUUAGACAACCAGGAUGUUGGCUUAGAAGCAGCCACCAUUGAAAGAGUGCGUAAUAGCUCACUGGUCGAGUGACCCCGCGCCGAAAAUGUACCGGGGCUAAACAUAUUACCGAAACUGUGGAUGAACCUCUUUAGAGGUUCGUGGUAGGAGAGCGUUCUAAGGGCGGUGAAGUCAGACCGGAAGGACUGGUGGAGCGCUUAGAAGUGAGAAUGCCGGUAUGAGUAGCGAAAGAAGGGUGAGAAUCCCUUCCACCGAAUAUCUAAGGUUUCCUGAGGAAGGCUCGUCCGCUCAGGGUUAGUCGGGACCUAAGCCGAGGCCGAUAGGCGUAGGCGAUGGACAACAGGUAGAGAUUCCUGUACCAGUGCUAAUUGUUUAACCGAUGGGGUGACACAGAAGGAUAGGGAAUCGCACGAAUGGAAAUGUGCGUCCAAGCAGUGAGUGUGAGAAGUAGGCAAAUCCGCUUCUCGCGAAGCAUGAGCUGUGAUGGGGAAGGAAAUUAAGUACGGAAGUUCCUGAUUUCACGCUGUCAAGAAAAGCCUCUAGGAAGAGUAGUACUGCCCGUACCGCAAACCGACACAGGUAGAUGAGGAGAGAAUCCUAAGGUGAGCGAGAGAACUCUCGUUAAGGAACUCGGCAAAAUGACCCCGUAACUUCGGGAGAAGGGGUGCUCUAUUAGGGUGCAAGCCCGAGAGAGCCGCAGUGAAUAGGCCCAGGCGACUGUUUAGCAAAAACACAGGUCUCUGCAAAACCGUAAGGUGACGUAUAGGGGCUGACGCCUGCCCGGUGCUGGAAGGUUAAGAGGAGUGCUUAGCUUCGGCGAAGGUACGAAUUGAAGCCCCAGUAAACGGCGGCCGUAACUAUAACGGUCCUAAGGUAGCGAAAUUCCUUGUCGGGUAAGUUCCGACCCGCACGAAAGGCGCAACGAUCUGGGCACUGUCUCAACGAGAGACUCGGUGAAAUUAUAGUACCUGUGAAGAUGCAGGUUACCCGCGACAGGACGGAAAGACCCCGUGGAGCUUUACUGCAACCUGAUAUGGAAUGUUUGUACCGCUUGUACAGGAUAGGUAGGAGCCGAAGAGACGUGUGCGCUAGCAUACGAGGAGGCAAUGGUGGGAUACUACCCUGGCUGUAUGACCAUUCUAACCCGCCACGCUUAGCGCGUGGGGAGACAGUGUCAGGUGGGCAGUUUGACUGGGGCGGUCGCCUCCUAAAGAGUAACGGAGGCGCCCAAAGGUUCCCUCAGAAUGGAUGGAAAUCAUUCGCAGAGUGUAAAGGCACAAGGGAGCUUGACUGCGAGACUGACAAGUCGAGCAGGGACGAAAGUCGGGCUUAGUGAUCCGGUGGUUCCGCAUGGAAGGGCCAUCGCUCAACGGAUAAAAGCUACCCCGGGGAUAACAGGCUUAUCUCCCCCAAGAGUCCACAUCGACGGGGAGGUUUGGCACCUCGAUGUCGGCUCGUCGCAUCCUGGGGCUGUAGUCGGUCCCAAGGGUUGGGCUGUUCGCCCAUUAAAGCGGCACGCGAGCUGGGUUCAGAACGUCGUGAGACAGUUCGGUCCCUAUCCGUCGCGGGCGCAGGAAAUUUGAGAGGAGCUGUCCUUAGUACGAGAGGACCGGGAUGGACACACCGCUGGUGUACCAGUUGUUCCGCCAGGAGCAUCGCUGGGUAGCUAUGUGUGGCAGGGAUAAACGCUGAAAGCAUCUAAGCGUGAAGCCCCCCUCAAGAUGAGAUUUCCCAUUUCUUCGGAAAGUAAGAUCCCUGAAAGAUGAUCAGGUAGAUAGGUUUGGAGUGGAAGUGUAGCGAUACAUGGAGCGGACAAAUACUAAUCGAUCGAGGACUUAACCAAAA
Molecule: ribosomal RNA, 2564 nt
Filed under: Listeria monocytogenes
Lineage: Bacteria; Bacillati; Bacillota; Bacilli; Caryophanales; Listeriaceae
Description: partial 23S ribosomal RNA
Rfam family: Bacterial large subunit ribosomal RNA
Source: RNAcentral